Molecule: signal recognition particle RNA, 148 nt
Filed under: Chlorocebus sabaeus (green monkey)
Lineage: Eukaryota; Metazoa; Chordata; Mammalia; Primates; Cercopithecidae
Description: Metazoan signal recognition particle RNA
Rfam family: Metazoan signal recognition particle RNA
About the family: The signal recognition particle (SRP) is a universally conserved ribonucleoprotein. It is involved in the co-translational targeting of proteins to membranes.
Source: Rfam by way of RNAcentral
GCUGGGCAUGGUGGCGCAUGCCUGUAAUCCCAGCUACUCAGGAGGCUGAGGCAGGAGAAUUGCUUGUAUCCAGGAGUUGGAGGUUGCAGUGAGCUGAGAGUGCGCCAUUGCACUCCAGCCUGGGUGACAGAGCAAGACUCUGUCUCCA